Molecule: ribosomal RNA, 251 nt
Filed under: uncultured bacterium
Lineage: Bacteria
Description: partial 16S ribosomal RNA
Rfam family: Bacterial small subunit ribosomal RNA
Source: RNAcentral
CGCCGACGACCGGCGCACGGGUGCGUAACGCGUAUACAAUCUACCUUUUGCUAAGGUAUAGCCCAGAGAAAUUUGGAUUAAUCCCUUAUGGUAUUAUUACUUGGCAUCGAUUAAUAAUUAAAGGUUACGGCAAAAGAUGAGUAUGCGUUCUAUUAGCUAGUAGGUAAGGUAACGGCUUACCUAGGCAACGAUAGAUAGGGGCCCUGAGAGGGGGAUCCCCCACACUGGUACUGAGACACGGACCAGACUCC